AACGAACGCUGGCGGCAGGCCUAACACAUGCAAGUCGAGCGAGUCCUUCGGGGCUAGCGGCGGACGGGUGAGUAACGCGUGGGAACGUGCCCUUCUCUACGGAAUAGUCUCGGGAAACUGGGUUUAAUACCGUAUACGCCCUUCGGGGGAAAGAUUUAUCGGAGAAGGAUCGGCCCGCGUUGGAUUAGGUAGUUGGUGGGGUAAUGGCCUACCAAGCCGACGAUCCAUAGCUGGUUUGAGAGGAUGAUCAGCCACACUGGGACUGAGACACGGCCCAGACUCCUACGGGAGGCAGCAGUGGGGAGUCUUAGACAAUGGGGGAAACCCUGAUCUAGCCAUGCCGCGUGAGUGACGAAGGCCUUAGGGUCGUAAAGCUCUUUCGCUGGGGAAGAUAAUGACGGUACCCAGUAAAGAAACCCCGGCUAACUCCGUGCCAGCCGCCGCAGUAACAC
Molecule: ribosomal RNA, 452 nt
Filed under: uncultured bacterium
Lineage: Bacteria
Description: bacterial SSU rRNA
Rfam family: Bacterial small subunit ribosomal RNA
Source: RNAcentral